CCCUUAGAUGUUCGGGGCCGCACGCGCGCUACACUGAAUGGAUCAACGUGCCUUUCCCGAGGCUGAAAAGUCGAGGUAAUCCGUUGAACCCCAUUCGUGACGGGGAUAGGAGCUUGCAAUUAUUCUCCUUGAACGAGGAAUUCCCAGUAAGCGCGAGUCAUCAGCUCGCGUUGAUUACGUCCCUGCCCUUUGUUCACACCGCCCGUCGCUACUACCGAUCGGAUUGUCCUGUGAAUUUCUAGGAGAGUUGAGGUCCUGGCGCUUCGGUGUCGGCGACCUCAUGCUUGAAUUGAAUUGAACUGGACUCUCUAGAGGAAGUAAAAGUCGUAACA
RNAcentral lists this ribosomal RNA (332 nucleotides) under uncultured eukaryote. RNAcentral describes it as "partial 18S ribosomal RNA". It matches the Rfam family "Eukaryotic small subunit ribosomal RNA", at positions 1470 to 1796 of the family's 1831-position model. The record is from RNAcentral.